RNAcentral lists this non-coding RNA (29 nucleotides) under Mus musculus (house mouse). Lineage: Eukaryota; Metazoa; Chordata; Mammalia; Rodentia; Muridae. The record is from RNAcentral.
UAUGAACAUUGUCCUUGCAACUUCUCAGC